GCUCCCGUGGUGUAGUCCGGCCAAUCAUUCUGGCCUUUCGAGCCAGCCACCCGGGUUCAAAUCCCGGCGGGAGCA
This 75-nucleotide transfer RNA is filed under the name Thermoplasmatales archaeon SG8-52-4. Its description in RNAcentral is "tRNA-Glu". It matches the Rfam family "tRNA". Rfam says of the family: Transfer RNA (tRNA) molecules are approximately 80 nucleotides in length. Their secondary structure includes four short double-helical elements and three loops (D, anti-codon, and T loops). Lineage: Archaea; Methanobacteriati; Thermoplasmatota; Thermoplasmata; Thermoplasmatales. RNAcentral also lists the same sequence under 2 other names. The record is from RNAcentral.